CUCACCCACCCACUCACUCACUCAGCCACCCACCCAUUCAUCCACCCACCAAAUCCCACCCAAAUUCCACCUCCGUACAGCGUGAAAGAAGUCCAACACGCACACACACACGCGCACACACGCACAAUCCCACUCGCCCAAUCAACACCACCGUGGCAAGAUGUAUUAUCGCCUCGGGCACCUCCCAUCGGCGUCACGUGAUGACGCACAGCAGCUGCGAUUGGUCGUUGCGAGCCUGGCGUGGGGCGGGGUGCAGAGUGGGCGGAGCUACCCAGUUAAAGUGGGCGGGGCUUGGAGGGGGGGGCGUGGUCACACUGGCCACGCCCCCCUUGUGGUGAUGGUGGUGAUGAUGGUGGUGAUGGUGAGCUGUAUGUGGUGUAAUGAAGGUGAUGAUGAUGGUGGUGGUGAUGAUGGUGGUGGUGAUGGUGGUGAUGAUGGUGGUGAGGUGUAUGUGGUGUAAUGAAGGUGAUGAUGGUGGUGAUGAUGAUGGUGGUGGUGAUGAUGGUGGUGGUGGUGGUGAUGAUGGUGGUGAUGAUGGUGAGGUGUAUGUGGUGGUGAUGAUGGUGGUGAUGAUGAUGGUGAGGUGUAUGUGGUGUAAUGAAGGUGAUGAUGGUGGUGGUGAUGGUGGUGGUGAUGGUGGUGAUGAUGAUGGUGAGCUGUAUGUGGUGUAAUGAAGGUGAUGAUGGUGGUGGUGAUGGUGGUGGUGAUGAUGGUGAGGUGUAUGUGGUGGUGAUGGUGGUGGUGAUGGUGGUGGUGAUGAUGGUGAGGUGUAUGUGGUGGUGAUGGUGGUGGUGAUGAUGGUGGUGAUGAUGAUGGUGAGCUGUAUGUGGUGUAAUGAAGGUGAUGAUGAUGAUGGUGAGCUGUAUGUGGUGUAAUGAAGGUGAUGAUGGUGGUGGUGGUGAUGGUGGUGAUGAUGGUGAGCUGUAUGUGGUGUAAUGAAGGUGAUGAUGGUGGUGGUGAAGAUGGUGGUGAUGGUGGUGAUGAUGGUGGUGAGCUGUAUGUGGUGUAAUGAUGGUGAUGAUGAGCUGUAUGUGGUGUAAUGAAGGUGAUGAUGUUUAUCUGUUCUGGGGGAUGGUAUCGACUGCCACUUUUUUUCACCGUUCGGGCCGUCAGACCGACCGCACCGAUUUCGUGUAGCGGGAUUUUUGGUUUCUUCAAUAAACCUGGCAUGACGUUUG
Molecule: long non-coding RNA, 1178 nt
Organism: Lethenteron reissneri (Far Eastern brook lamprey)
Lineage: Eukaryota; Metazoa; Chordata; Hyperoartia; Petromyzontiformes; Petromyzontidae
Source: RefSeq, a predicted model, not a curated record